Cynocephalus volans (Philippine flying lemur) is the source of this 121-nucleotide small nucleolar RNA. RefSeq annotates it as small nucleolar RNA SNORA26. The transcript has a single exon. Lineage: Eukaryota; Metazoa; Chordata; Mammalia; Dermoptera; Cynocephalidae. The record is from RefSeq and is a predicted model, not a curated record.
GUGCCCUUCAAGGUUGAUGUAAUGUUUUAAGAGACUAACACAGAAGGGUAGAGUGAGUCUCCAUAAAAACCAGGGAACAGAUUGUAAAACUCUUGCAUGGAUCCUGUUUGCAGUCACAGCU